ACUCCAUCUAUGACACAGUAGUCCAAAAGAGAGAGCUAGAGAAAGAGAAGCUACAGAAAGAGUGAAAGUUUUUAUAAAUGGAGAGAGAGAGAGAGAGAGAGAGAGAGUCACGAGGAUUAUAUUCCUCUACCCGUAAGACAUGCAUGGCUCUCGUGCUUUUUCUUUGUCCAAUUAAUCUUUAUAUCUUUAUAAGAUCUCUUCUUCUUCUUCUUCUUCUGUUUUCUUUUAGUUUCAAGAAAGACUCGACCUGACCUGACCUCACCUGCAAAUUCUAUCCAAACCCAUUUUGAUGUUAUGGAUUAAAUCGAUUGAUUCUAACCAACGAUCAUUUUCUUGUUUGAUAUGUUGGUUUGAGAGGUUGAAGCUGCCAGCAUGAUCUGGUCAUCUUGCAGCUUCAAUCACUCAAUCAUCAACAAUGAAAGAAUAUCUGAAACAAUGCUUAUGAACCUUCAGGUAAUUGAUUCUUUUAUUUAUCUAGAUUUAGUACUAAAUUGCUUAAUUUUUUCAUUCAAUCUCUUUAUUUUUCAUCUAAUAUUGAGCAAUUAUAUACAUAUGAAGACAACACUAUACUGCCUAUCCAAGUCAAAGCCCUCUCUGUGAAGUUAGUUCUUAACCUACCCAUUAAAUCCAGCUAUAUAUGUCUUUUAUGUCAACUUAAAAAUGUCAAGAGAGAGAAUGUUAUUUAUUAUUUAUUUUUCUUGGCUUGGUUGGUAAUUAAUAUCUAGAAUCAAUAAAUUCACAAGUCAAAAGAAAGACAUGUAUGCUAUACCUAAUUUAUUUCAGACAAUGUAUUUUGCUAUUGUAAUAAAUUUAUAAUAAUUUUUUAUGGUCAUAUAUCCAAUUCCAGGCUUAUAAAAAUGUUCUGAUUAAACAAAGGUGUGAAACCAGUUGAACAGUAGACAAAAGAUGCUAUGUUAAUUGUAUAUAAGGCAAAAUGUCUAAGUUUGAUGGUUCAUGGCCCACCAUUUAUUAAUUAAUUAACAUUUCUGAUUAGACCAUUAGCACUGGAAGAUUGUUUAAAAUGCAUAAGCAUUUGUUGGAUCCAUUGUUGGCAUUUUCUCUGUUUGUUUGUACUAAACAAAUUCUUAAUCCAACAAUAAUUAUUAAUUAGUCACUUUAACUGUCACCCUUUUUACCUAUCUAUCCAUCCUUAGCACCACAUUAGUGAUUAUGUUUUAUAUUUUCGUUUGUGUUAUCUAUUGUUCCUAGAGAUAAUGCAAUGCAUCAUAAAUAAGUUUUAUAAAAUUCAAAUUAACUUGGUCUAAUGGUUGAAAUACACUAGAUUCAUUAUAGUGAUCGCAAGAUCAAGUAUUACUCUCGAGACUAAAAUGAAUUAAUUUCUCGUCUAACAGUGAAAUAUAUACAUAGAUGUAUUGAGAUUUUAUCGUGGACAUAUACAUUUGUGCAUACACAUAUUAAUCAGCUGUCAUAAAUGUCUGUUUGUUUCGGUAAGAGACAAGCAUGUAUAUAGCUAGCUUUUCUGGCUUAUUUUGUUAUAUAGGGGAACCACAAGCUUUAAGGCUCUUCUUUUCUUGGAAGGACACUUCCAGUUAUGAUUUCUUGGCUACUUCCAAAUUUGGCCAAGAACUGAGACAACAAAUGUGAACUACCUAUUGUUCUUGUUCAUAACACUUGAGACUUACAUAUAUAAUUUCUAGUUAUAUGAGAAAGUCUCCUUCUUUUUGUACACACCAUCUAUUGAAUGACCUUUUCAGAAUGUAUAUAUUGAAUGAUAAUUAGCUCUCGAGUGUUGAUUUAAAAAAUCAAAUUCUUUUUAACAAAAUGAGAAGCAAAUUCACUUUAGCAAACCAUUAAGGUUUUUGUAUAUAUAAGUUUGUUCUUGGAUGUUAUAUAGAGGAAUUACAUCUCUUACUUGUAGUAUAUAAGAGGAAGUAAUUUGAUUUUGAAUU
Jatropha curcas is the source of this 1910-nucleotide long non-coding RNA. RefSeq lists it as uncharacterized. NCBI's taxonomy places the organism in Eukaryota, Viridiplantae, Streptophyta, Magnoliopsida, Malpighiales, Euphorbiaceae. The record is from RefSeq and is a predicted model, not a curated record.